UUAAUUUGCCCGAUAUGCUUAAUCUCGCUUGGCUAUCUGGGUAACUUUUAUAGUGCCUUAUUACUAUAAUACCGCAUAUUUAUUGGUGCCGCCAUGUUCUAGGCAAGCCAAUCCCCGCGAACUGCCAUGAUGUCCAAUCUCUUUUUCUAGUUACCAGUGGCUCGCGGCACUAACUCGUGUUAAAUGAAAAUAUUUAUAGUGUGAAGUUAAAAUUGAUUAUUUCUGGGCCGGAUAUCUAUUUGGGGAGUGUAAAGAAGAAGAAAAAGAAAUUGAUUUUUUAACGAUUUGUCAGUAGGCCUAUUCUGUAACAUUUUUAAUAACAAUUUUUUUUGUAUAUACAGAAAAAGUUUUUUCUGUAUAUACAGAAUAUGCUUACAAGCAAGUCGCACGUUGCGUUUCUUUACCACACACACAUUCAGGUAAUUAUAAUAAAAUAAAAUAACUUUUUGACAUUUGUUACACAGUUGUGAAAUAAUAGUUCCUUUAUUUUUUGCUACAGGUUGCAGAAAGAGUGUACAUUUGGAACGAAUUUAUAACCAUCAUUAUAUAAAAUUAGCAAGGAACAUUGGAACUAAAUGAUUGUAGCUGUUAUUUAUUACAGAAUUAAGUGAAAUUAUUUUAAUUUAAUUUUUAAUUUAACUUUCGGUUGUCACAUACACAUAUCCAUCCCAGCGCCCAACCAAUGUCAGGAAAACCCCAGCAUCCUCCACAUCUGGAUCAUUUCAAUCAGCACUGAUGACAAAAGGAAGCUGGCUGUCCUAGAAUGGUUCAGACGUGAUAGAGGAUCUUUCUAUGUCAGAGCAUCCCAGGCAUUGGUUGGGCACUGUGAUGGAUGUGUGAGUGUAGCGGAAGAGUGUGUCAAAGGAUAAAAGCAAUUUCCACUCCUUGAUAGUUGUAAACUCAAAAAUCCUGAUUUGAUUUGAAUGACCCACACAGUAUAUACUUAGAUUAAAUACUCUAUUGCAGCAGAGGAAAAUGACCACAGGCCGAGGAAAAAGAAGAAGAAUGUUUGAUAGUUUUAUUAUUAUGAAGUUUUGAGAAUGAUGAAGAAUGGAAAGAAUACAGCUGUCUGGUGGAAACCUAGAACCUCAAUGCAUCCUAGCAGAGGCGGUUUUUGACGAGGAGUAGCAAAUAAUCCAUACAGUCUGCAAACACCUUCAGGAAUGGAUGUUGGUCUCUCAUAACUCAUAGGUAGCUCAGAUUGGCAUAUGGAUAUGAAGUAUAGGUAUUCGUGUGACUUUCAUGAUGAUUCUGCACUCGCUGGACAACAAGCAGACAUCCAAGAAAUUUCAGUAAGUGAUUGUGUGUCAAUUCUGAUUUAGUGUAGGAUAUUGUAAUAUGUAAUAAUAUGCGAUAUUUUAUAUGCUACUUUUUGUUUUCAUUUUAGAUGAAGACCAUGAAGCUAUCGGCAUUUUAGUUUUGAUUGACAAUUAAAAGUGAAAAUUCUAAAUGUAAGCAUUAGAAAUAAUUGUUUGUAGAGAUCAUACCGAUAUAAUAAUGUGAUAAAUGUAUUUAGAUUUAGAUUAUUAAUUAUAUAUUAUGAUUUGAAAAAUUGAAAAAAAGAAAGCAUUGUACUAACGUAAAA
Monomorium pharaonis (pharaoh ant) is the source of this 1585-nucleotide long non-coding RNA. RefSeq lists it as uncharacterized. The record is from RefSeq and is a predicted model, not a curated record. The transcript is spliced from 2 exons. NCBI's taxonomy places the organism in Eukaryota, Metazoa, Arthropoda, Insecta, Hymenoptera, Formicidae.